Populus trichocarpa (black cottonwood) is the source of this 1691-nucleotide long non-coding RNA. RefSeq lists it as uncharacterized. The record is from RefSeq and is a predicted model, not a curated record. The transcript is spliced from 2 exons. NCBI's taxonomy places the organism in Eukaryota, Viridiplantae, Streptophyta, Magnoliopsida, Malpighiales, Salicaceae.
CCAUCCUCAGAACCUGGGAAUCGGCUUUAUAUAAAGGAAAAUUCAGUUCUUACCAAUCUUAAAAGCCACCACUCCAGCAUAUAUUUGUCAUUUUCUUUUUGGGAGAUCUUACAGAUUGCUUAGCUAGAAAAAGAUAGAUCUUGCCAGUUCCUUUCUGGACACCUGUAUGUAGAAGCUGUGGGCAUGUGUGGAUCAGUCAUUGGAAUAUUUUUUAUAUUCUGGCAUGGACUGCGGAUUAACUUGGAUUUCCAGCUGAUUUAUUCAAUAUUUCGAGUCCAAUCAAAUCAUUUCUUUUUGCUAACAUGUACUACUUCGGGUCUAUAUCCUUCCAAUAUAAAUUAUACACACACACACACACAAUCAUGCAACUUGAUAUAAUCGGAUUCACGAGCUUAGUUAGUAGCCCAUAUGAUCUCAGAAGUUACCCUCAAACCAAAGAAUCAUCUUCGUGGGUUAAUCAAUUAUCUAACCCCUCCUUCAACUCCAUCUCUCUCUCUAUAUAUAUAUAUACCCUUUCCUCUCUUCAUCCGUAUCUUCACAGCAAAUUCACACACACAAAGUUUCUUGUGAUCCUGCUCGUUUUCAGUCUGUAUUUUUUAUUUUUUUCAUUUUAACGUGCUCCAACAAUUGAAGUCUAAGGUAUGUGUAUGUCGAGAAUAUUGAAGAGGUGUGAUACUGUUGUUGGCCAUCAGUUUUUUUUUUUUUUGGCCUUUGGUUUAACCACUAGUGGGUCUCUCCUAUUUAGCUCCACAAUGAUUAAUUCAGGUGGAUUUGUUUGCCUUAAUUACCGGGUCAUUCAUAUUCAUUCCUUUUCUUUACUCUUACUUCAUGGGUUAUUCCUUUUAGGGUUAGGGUUGGUCCAUUCAUACUCGUGAAAGAUCUGAUCAAGAUUAUCAGUCUAUAUUGGCCGAUGCGGCAGCAUCAAGAUUCACAAACUUUAAGGCUUGAGUUGGGGUGGUACACGGUCCCCUCCUUUACUCGAAAGGUUCCUUAAUUUCUGAUGGGAAUCUUGAUGAUGCUGCAUCGGCAAAUAUAUGACUAUUCUUCUUAAUUUACUGUUGCAUACCAAACAUGUACAACGAGCUCUGCAAUUUGAUCAAAGGUGGAGUGUAAGUUAAUUAUCUAACCAAAACCAUGAAGGUGGCUCGCCUUUGGUCUCCUCAUGCGCUUAAUGAACUUGUCUGAUUUAUCGGGGGGGAAAAGAACAAUGACUACAAUUAUUGUCUAUUUUAGAGAUCAUUUAGUUCUUAUGGUGGUGGCGCUAAGUACAGAUGAGUGAGUUUUCAAUCUCCAGUGAUAUUACAACGAAGGAAGGGAAUAGGAAAAGCAAGUUAAGGAAGGUACCAUGCAUGUAUAUGCUUAGUUUUGUUUUAUUUGAACUUAUUGAUGGAAAAUGUAAACCUAGAUUCAUUGCUAAAGAUCAAUGGUAACACAGAUGAUAUUUGAGUCAUUCAUGGCGCUGCUAGCCUAACUUGUGGCAGCCACGUACCAAUCUUAAUUUACAUUACUGAUAUAGCCGUUGACGAUAAUAGAUUCAGACUCUUUAGUUUAAAGGAUGACAUUAAGAGAAGAUGGAGAAGAGUUCGUAGCUCAAAAUAGGCAUCUUGUUUAUUCCUCUAAUACAUUCUUUAUUAUCUAUCAAUCGAUCCUCUCUUCUUUUGAUUCAAACGCAUAGUGUUCCAAGAAAAUAA